CCUACGGGAGGCUGCAGUGAGGAAUAUUGGUCAAUGGCCGGAAGGCUGAACCAGCCAUGCCGCGUGAAGGUCAGUGCCCUAUGGGCGUUAAACUUCUUUUGUGCGGGAGCAAUAAUGGUCACGUGUGGCCAGACGAGAGUACCGUACGAAUAAGCAUCGGCUAACUCCGUGCCAGCAGCCGCGGUAAUACGGGGGAGGCAAGCGUUAUCCGGAUUUAUUGGGUUUAAAGGGUGCGUAGGCUGUGAGGUAAGUCAGCGGUGAAAUGCCCCCGCUCAACGGGGUGAAGUGCCAUUGAUACUGCCAUGCUGGAAUGCGGAUGACGUGGGAGGAAUGUGUGGUGUAGCGGUGAAAUGCAUAGAUAUCACACAGAACACCGAUUGCGAAGGCAUCUCACGAAUCCGCGAUUGACGCUGAUGCACGAAAGCGUGGGUAUCAAACAGGAUUAGAUACCCCUGUAGUC
RNAcentral lists this ribosomal RNA (460 nucleotides) under uncultured bacterium. RNAcentral describes it as "partial 16S ribosomal RNA". It matches the Rfam family "Bacterial small subunit ribosomal RNA", at positions 338 to 795 of the family's 1533-position model. The record is from RNAcentral.